GAUCCUGGCUCAGGAUGAACGCUAGCUACAGGCUUAACACAUGCAAGUCGAGGGGAAACGGGAAAGCAGCUUGCUGCUUUUUGUCGUCGACCGGCGCACGGGUGAGUAACGCGUAUCCAACCUUCCCAUAACAAAGGGAUACUCCGUAGAAAUGCGGUCUAAUACCUUAUGUUCUCUUUAUUAGGCAUCUUUUAUAGAGCAAAGAAUUUCGGUUAUGGAUGGGGAUGCGUCUGAUUAGCUUGUUGGCGGGGG
RNAcentral lists this ribosomal RNA (252 nucleotides) under uncultured bacterium. Its description in RNAcentral is "partial 16S ribosomal RNA". It matches the Rfam family "Bacterial small subunit ribosomal RNA", at positions 15 to 258 of the family's 1533-position model. The record is from RNAcentral.